RNAcentral lists this long non-coding RNA (1710 nucleotides) under Olea europaea (common olive). Its description in RNAcentral is "long non-coding RNA (OEUR_LNC006214)". The record is from RNAcentral. Lineage: Eukaryota; Viridiplantae; Streptophyta; Magnoliopsida; Lamiales; Oleaceae.
GCCUUUGGAGCAUUGGAGUAAGAAAAAGAGGAAAUUGCACAGAAUGUCAAUUUUUCUCAAGAUAUUUACAAAAAUGUCAAUUUUUUUAAAACAUUGCAAGAAUGUCAAUUUAAGACAUAUUUGCCCCUGAAAAUAAUUUCAAAUUCCAUACAUGUCCUAAUUAAAUGAGAUUUGACCCAAUGGAAGAAAUUGUACAAAAAUCUUGUCAAUGUCAUAGAUGAAAAGUUGGAAAAAAAAAAUAGAUAAAUUUUAGUUGUCUCAUUCAAACAACUCUAACUCUAACUCUCUCACUUACUCUCUCUCUCUCUCUCUCUCUCUCUCUCUCUCUCUCUCUCUCUCUCUCUCUCAUUUCUCUCAUUAGGGUUUCAAUCCAAGAGAGAAAAAUCUUGUUUUUUUUUACUCAGUUUUUGUGAUAUUUUUAUCUGUAAGGGGUUUAUGAGAUGCGAAAAAUGGAGCUUUUUGCUUGGUUUAAAAUAAGAGCUGGGGCUUGGAUUAGAAAGAGGUAAAAAUCCUUUUGAUAUUCAGUAAUUUUUUUGGACAUUUUGAAUAAUUUUUGGUUGUGUUAUGAUUAGAAAUGUUUUUCCCCAACUUUCUGCAAUUUCAUACCAUAAAUUUUAAUUUUCUCUUUUUUUAUACAUCUUCUAUUAGUGAUGCAUAUAUGCACACGUAACACGUGCCGACACUAAUGUUGAGGGAAAAAAUUAUUUAGGGUUCCAAUUUAAUAUUUAUCCUCUUCCUUUGCUUUCAAAGUCCAAAUUUCAAGUAUUUUGAAUGUUUCAAUAUUUUUGGUACUUGUGUGAUGUGGAAACAACAUUACUAUAACUUGGAAUCCAUUUGUUGUGGGAGGUACCCGUAUUUGGGUUGAACUCUUGCUAGACAGUCGACAGCAUACCUGUGAUUUUAAUAUAUUGUUAUGCUCGAAUAUGAAGUGAAAUAAGUUUCAAUAAUACCUAUUUGCUUAGAGGUGAAAAGUAGAUCUCCCGAUAGUUCAUCUGUCGACAGUUCACUAAUGUAUAGAAAUGCCAUCGCGCCUAACUGUCGGUUUCGACAGUUAGCCUCGGUAAUUCUCGAUAGAUGAAACAGUCGACAGAUGAACUGUCGAGAACGACAGUUCAGUCCUUCCCACCGCUCAGUUCCACAAGUCAAACUUUGGUUCAUUCUAACAUUGCACGAGUGUUUUACAUAAACAUAUAUGAAAUGCUAUGAUCUCAUGAUUUUUUCAAUUGAUUUGUCCGUAUUUGGUUAGAUUUUUUCCAUCCGAACGUCUUACAUGUGACUGAUUUCCAUAUGUGGUUAUAUUUUUGUGUUUCACAUUUUUAUUUGUAUAACAAUACCACCACCAUCACGAUUCAUUCUUCAUAAUUUUUGGAUCACAUGCAAUUCAAAUCUAUUUUUGUGGAAGUUGCUUGUUUGAAUUCAGAUUAUGAUAGAUUGCAUGAAUCAAUUGAGUUAUAUUAUGUACUGUGAUCAGAUUGUUUUUUCACAUAAGGUAAACGUUAUUACAUUUCUUCACAUUGUUUUCUACGGGCUUUAUCUCGGAAUACUAAUUUCACCAAUGUAUGAUGACAAAUGAGCAGACUCAUACUCAUGACUUGAAUGAUCGUCAAAGUGUUGGUGCACACAUUCUUGCUAUAAUUGGAGAUGGAACCAAUCGAUUUCGUUGUCAAAGAAAGAGAAACCUUCACAACGGUCUACUUUUGAUGACUGUGG